NNNUGGGUUUGGAUUGUGGUGGGUCCGAUCCCAUGGGCCUCUCACAGUGUCCAUGCCAAAGCAAACUGUCACCCCAAACUAUUGCCUGGCUUUCCUGGUAGGCUUAAGGCACUGAAGUGGGUUGCAUAGUA
This 131-nucleotide small nucleolar RNA is filed under the name Echinops telfairi (small Madagascar hedgehog). RNAcentral describes it as "Small nucleolar RNA SNORA42/SNORA80 family (ENSETEG00000023249.1)". It matches the Rfam family "Small nucleolar RNA SNORA42/SNORA80 family". Rfam says of the family: The members of this family belong to the H/ACA class of snoRNAs that guide the sites of modification of uridines to pseudouridines. Human ACA42 (SNORA42) was cloned from HeLa cells by immunoprecipitation with anti-GAR1 antibody. The record is from RNAcentral. Lineage: Eukaryota; Metazoa; Chordata; Mammalia; Afrosoricida; Tenrecidae.